Molecule: ribosomal RNA, 468 nt
Filed under: uncultured bacterium
Lineage: Bacteria
Description: partial 16S ribosomal RNA
Rfam family: Bacterial small subunit ribosomal RNA
Source: RNAcentral
GAUGAACGCUGGCGGCGUGCUUAACACAUGCAAGUCGACCGGAAAGGCCCUGCUUUUGUGGGGUGCUCGAGUGGCGAACGGGUGAGUAACACGUGAGUAACCUGCAACUGACUUUAGGAUAACCUCAGGCAACUGGGGCUAAUACUGGAUAGGAGCACCUGCUGCAUGGCGGUGGUCGGAAAGAUACAGCGGUUGGGGAUGGACUCGCGGCUUAUCAGCUUGUUGGCGGGGAAGUGGCUUACCAAGGCUGUGACGGGUAGCCGGCCUGAGAGGGUGACCGGCCACAUUGGGACUUGGAUACGGCCCAGACUCCUACGGGAGGCAGCAGGGGGGAAUAUUGCACAAUGGGCGGAAGCCUGAGGCAGCGACGCCGUGUGCGGGAGAACGGCCUUCGGGGUGUAAACCGCUUUCGCCGUUGACGAGGCGAGAGUGACGGUAAUGGGUAAAGAAGCAACAGCUAACUACGUG